AAUCUUAGACAAUGGGCGCAAGCCUGAUCUAGCCAUGCCGCGUGAGUGAUGAAGGCCUUAGGAUCGUAAAGCACUUUCGCCAGGGAUGAUAAUGACAGUACCUGGUAAAGAAACCCCGGCUAACUCCGUGCCAGCAGCCGCGGUAAUACGGAGGGGGUUAGCGUUGUUCGGAAUUACUGGGCGUAAAGCGYACGUAGGCGGAUCAGAAAGUAGGGGGUGAAAUCCCAGGGCUCAACCCUGGAACUGCCUYAUAAACUCCUGGUCUUGAGUUCGAGAGAGGUGAGUGGAAUUCCAAGUGUAGAGGUGAAAUUCGUAGAUAUUYGGAGGAACACCAGUGGCGAAGGCGGCUYACUGGCUCGAUACUGACGCUGAGGUGCGAAAGUGUGGGGAGCAAACAGGAUUAGAUACCCUGGUAGUCCACACCGUAAACGAUGAAUGCCAGUCGUCG
RNAcentral lists this ribosomal RNA (448 nucleotides) under uncultured delta proteobacterium. RNAcentral's name for it is "bacterial SSU rRNA". It matches the Rfam family "Bacterial small subunit ribosomal RNA", at positions 360 to 825 of the family's 1533-position model. The record is from RNAcentral. Lineage: Bacteria; Deltaproteobacteria.